Danionella cerebrum is the source of this 75-nucleotide non-coding RNA. The record is from the annotation of a GenBank genome assembly. Lineage: Eukaryota; Metazoa; Chordata; Actinopteri; Cypriniformes; Danionidae.
UUUCCUGUGGCUCAGUUGGUAGAGCAUUGCGCAAUAACAAUAAGCAAAGGUUGUGGGUUCAAAUCCCAGGGAAAG